RNAcentral lists this long non-coding RNA (1530 nucleotides) under Helianthus annuus (common sunflower). Its description in RNAcentral is "hypothetical non coding rna". The record is from RNAcentral. Lineage: Eukaryota; Viridiplantae; Streptophyta; Magnoliopsida; Asterales; Asteraceae.
UGCCGGUACCGUAUCAAUACCAUAAACCAAUGUUCAUGGUUGAGAACAUCCCGUCCGCGAAAAUCCCAAUCGCGAUUUUCCAAUAUCGAAUUCGAACAAAAACCCUUGUUGCAUCAAGUUCCCGAUAACCGAAAACCCACCCGGCGUCGUCACCGGUUGUAACGCCACACAUUUCACAUCCUCCGCCGUGUCGAUAAAAUAAUUCCCAACCGGCGGUGAAAACACCGAGUCGUCACCAACGAGUUUAAAACUCAGUCUGGGUACACUCGGUCUAUCCACCCCGGACACAUUAAAACAAAGAUCAAAAUUUGGCGGCGCACCAUCCGGCGUCUGGAGUUUCACGCGCCGCCGGAACGCUGCCAACACGCGCCGGUAGGCAGUCUCCGGUAGGAAAGUCAAAGUAGUACCGGAGUCAACGAUGGUCCCACCAUUACCCAAUUCAUCAAUACUCCAAACCGAAGGGCUUAUUCGUAAUUUCACAUUAUCUACAUAAACAUCUUGAAUCCCAAUGUAGUAAAAGGGGGAUGCUAAUGGGCUUUUUUGCAACGGUGUGUACCGGAUUUUUGAGUUUCCGGAUCCGGGUCGGGUUCCGAUUAAAAGGUAACUCGUUGGUGGAGGGACAAUGGUGUAGUCUUUAAGACAGUAAGAAAAUUUGUUACCGAACCGGCGACCGAGUUGGGUAACAAACGAAAUGGGCCCACGCCCUAAGCCCAUUACGCCUUGGGCCCCGUGAAAGCCUGGACCGGAAACACUCGGGCCGGAGGUUUUAAACCCGCACCCGAAAGCUAAACUAUCAUGUUGUAAUAACUUUCCGUUGGAUGAGUUAAACGUCGUCGUUUCCUUAGCGAAAAACCCGCUAGUAAUAGACCCGUCAGCGUAUGAAUAUUCGUAUCUACACGGGGAAUGCAGGCGCGUGUGGUUACACGCGAGGGAGGGGCGUGGGUGGGGAACGAGUCGACAAGCUGAGUUGAAACAGUGAGUUAGUGAGUAGGAAGUGGAAUGGCGGGCGAGGAAGGCGGAAUGCGGUGGUCGGGUGGCGGAGCAGUUGUUCCGGCAGGCGGAGCAGGUGACCCAGAUGAGAUCGGAGCCGGUGUCGGCGAUGAGGAGGAGGGGUUGUGGUGGGGAGCCUAAAUGAAGGGUGACGAAGUACUGGCCGGCGCCGGCGUAGGCGCCGGAGGUGACGGGGAGGUUGGGUUUGCGGUGGAGGGCGGAGAUUAGGGCAGAGAGGCGGGCGGAGUCGGCGGAGAUGGCUUGGGUGGGGGAUUGAACAGGGUUAAUGUGGUGGAGGGGGAGGCGGAGGAAGUGGUGGUCGCCGGAGUUAACGGUGGUUGAGUGGCAGAUGUGGGUGAAGGAGAUGAUGAUGAUAAUAAUAUUAAUGAGCAUGGUGGAGUGAGGGGGGAGGAGAGAGGGGGGUGGGUGGUAAGUGUAAAUAUGGGGUCUGGCAAUUGGCUGAAAUAAUGAGGUGAUGUAUUUAAUAUGGAAGUAUAUAAAUAUUUAAAUAUAAAGAAAAUUUUAAAUAAUGUUUUAUAA